RNAcentral lists this long non-coding RNA (2473 nucleotides) under Elaeis guineensis (African oil palm). Its description in RNAcentral is "long non-coding RNA (EGUI_LNC049391)". The record is from RNAcentral. Lineage: Eukaryota; Viridiplantae; Streptophyta; Magnoliopsida; Arecales; Arecaceae.
CCUAGAUGAAUUAAAGACUAUGGUGUAGUUUUCAUUGCCUAGCUUAAUUCUAAUGUCUCUGUUGUCCCUAUAAUUAAUUUUGAUGAUUCUAAAAUAUUAAGUAUAAUUGAUACUAAUCAUAUAUUUCAAAAAUGAAUGUAAAAAUUUUUAAAUGCUUAAAUUAAAAAAUUCAUUCAUAAAAAAGAUCCCCUCAAAGAUGCCACGCUAAAGCACUUCAAAAAAUGAAAUUUCAUAAAUUUAGCUCAGAGGAGUCGACCCCAAGACAAGAGGAGUCGACUCUGGCAUGUUAAAAUAGGACUAGCACAGGCUCGAGUCGACUUAUGAAUAAUUCGAGUCGACUCUCUCAACAAAGAUAGAAGACCGCAUUUUUAGAACUACAGCUAGAGUCGACCCCAAGACAAUUGGAGUCAACUCCUGAAAAAUUGGAGUCGACCCAUGGCCUAGAAUAGCACUAAUGGUUCAUUUUCUGUACUACUUCUAACAGUUAUUUCAAUCUUUCCAAUGGUCAAAACUCCUCUAGCUAAUUUCAAAUAUAUUAAAGGCUAGAGAAUCAAUUGGGAAGGUAAUCAAAAGGAUUGAAAAGAAAAAUUCAUCAAAAUAAGUGAGGGUCAUUGAAUAUCUUUGGAAAAGAAGAAAAGAGAGAAAUUUGAGCACAUAAUUUAGAGGACUUUUAAGAGUAAUCUUUCACAACAUUUCUAACAUUUUCUCCAGCUUUAAAGAAGAGUGAUCAAGCUUCAAAAGAGCAACAUUUCAAUCUCUUCUUCAUGCAUAAAAGAAUUCCAUCUUUUCUAUUUUAUUUUAAACUGAAAAUUAUCUCUUGUAUUUUAUUUUCUUUUCAAAUUUUUUUAGGAAAAAAAAUUUGGGGAUAGACCCAUCCAAGUUCGAAAUUAGACAAGUAUAAGAUUUUGGUUGGUUGACCCAUAAAAUCAAAUGGAUUGAUUAUCAGGCCAAAAAAUAAUCGGUAUAAGAUUUUAGUUGGUGAUCCUAAAAAAUCAACUAGGUUUGUUUAUGAGUUCAAGUAAAACAAAUACAUUAUAAUCAAGAAGAUUAUAGUGAAAUUCUUAAAGACUUCAUGGGGAGUAGAUGUAGGUGCGGAGUUGCAUCAAACCACUAUAAAUUUUUUAUCUUUAUGGUGUGAUUAUUUUAUUGCUUUACUUAUUUGCUUUAUAUUCUUGUAUUGUAUCAUUGCUUUGAAUUCCACUGCUACAUAUAAUAUACACUUCACCAUCAAUAUUUAUUUAGGUUUAAAUUAAAAUAUAUAUUUGUUCAAACUCAUAUUUAGUUUUAAUUUUUCAAAGAAUCCAAUUCACCCCCCCCUCGCCCCUCUUGGGUUGCUAUAUUUCUGGAUAAUAAGUGGUAUCAGAGCAGGUGCUCCAAUAUUGUUUGUUGACCUAGCGAUCUUGAACUAAAGAUCAUGGAAAUCCAAAUUAAAUUUUUUUUAAUAAAAGCCAUUCUAUAGAUCGACCUUUAAUUUUUAAUGCAUUAAAUUAUACCUAUUGGAAAGCUAAGAUGAAAAUAUUCAUACAAGUACAUAACUAUAACUUAUGAAGAAUUAUAGUCGAUGGCCCACACAUACCCAAUGGAUUAAUUAAGUUUAAUAAAGAAAUGACCCAACUAAAUGUGAUAAAUGCAUUAAUUAGGAUAUAGAAGCAUUAAAUUCCUUAGUAAUUGAUCCAUAUUAUGUUGAAUUUGAUACUUCUUGUCCUCUUUUAUAGAAAAUUGAUGAAGAUCCAAAUUGAUCCAGAUCCAAAAUAAAAAUCAAGCACUAAUGGGCUAAUGGGCUGACAAAAGUUUAUAGAUGCAAUGAGAUCCAUGGCAUGCAAAUGGGCUAGCAGGCUUUUGCAGGUGUUAGGCUUUUGGAAGACAUGCGAGCGCACAUGAGGAGGCAUCAAGCAGCAUGGCACGGUUCACAUGGGAGCGCACUAUGUAUGUGCGACUGGAAUGAAAUGCGGAUGUAGGUGUGUGAUGGCUAGCGGACCAGAACAAGUGGGUGCGGCUUGAAGCUGGACUUCAAUGAGUGGAAAUCAAAGAAUUAAAUGGGAGGGCCCAGAGUGCAUUUAAUGCAUAAGGAAGAGUAAAUAGGGUGCUAGGUGCUAGCAUGGGCGUGUGUAUUGUUGGAGCACGAUCCCGGCUCCUCCCAUGGACCUUGGGUGCAGCAGAACUAGCAACGAACAAAUCUGGAGACUUUUGGACUCGAUUAAAGGCCCUUGACAAAAUCAGCCUGGUUGCUGUCUUCUUCGUCAGCCUUUCGUUCCAGAUGAAGAACGCCUCUAAGAUCACCUCUAAAAAAUUCAAGAUCUGAUACCCAACCAGAUCAGACCUGGACUGAGGUCUUUCAAUUCAUAGAUCUCAAAUCAGGAUGUUUUAGAUAGGGAAGAAGGUAGAUAGAGACAGACCUUGCAGAUCUGUCCUGCUGCAGCUUUUCCUGUAGAUCUGUUGAUGGAGAUCUCACCCGCGCCUCAAACGACCUCAG